Molecule: non-coding RNA, 29 nt
Filed under: Bombyx mori (domestic silkworm)
Lineage: Eukaryota; Metazoa; Arthropoda; Insecta; Lepidoptera; Bombycidae
Source: RNAcentral
CCAAGUAAGUCCCGUUUUCCUACCUACCC